Molecule: unclassified non-coding RNA, 434 nt
Filed under: soil metagenome
Description: partial contains 5.8S ribosomal RNA, internal transcribed spacer 2, and large subunit ribosomal RNA
Rfam family: 5.8S ribosomal RNA (bases 1-120)
Source: RNAcentral
GAUGAAGAACGUAGCGAAAUGCGAUACGUAAUGUGAAUUGCAGAAUUCAGUGAAUCAUCGAAUCUUUGAACGCAUAUUGCGCUCUUUGGUAUUCCGAAGAGCAUGCUUGUUUGAGUAUCAGUAAACACCUCAAAGCUUUUGGAUUUUUUAAUCGAAAAGCUUUGGACUUGAGCAAUCCCAACACCAAUCUUUUUGAGAUCGGUGGCGGGUUGCUUGAAAUGCAGGUGCAGCUGGACAUUCUCAUGAGCUAAAAGCAUAUUCAUUUAGUCCCGUCAAACGGAUUAUUACUUUUGCUGCAGCUAACAUAAAGGGAGUUUGACCGUAUUGGCUGACUGAUGCAGGAUUUCACAAGGGUCGGCAACGAUUCUUGUUAAACUCGAUCUCAAAUCAAGUAAGACUACCCGCUGAACUUAAGCAUAUCAAUAAGCGGAGGA